CAGUGGCGCAAUGGGUCAGUGCAUCCUGCUGUUAACCAGAAGAUUGGUGGUUCAAGCCCACCCAGGACGG
This 70-nucleotide transfer RNA is filed under the name Podarcis lilfordi (Lilford's wall lizard). RNAcentral's name for it is "tRNA.Asn". It matches the Rfam family "tRNA". From Rfam's summary of the family: Transfer RNA (tRNA) molecules are approximately 80 nucleotides in length. Their secondary structure includes four short double-helical elements and three loops (D, anti-codon, and T loops). The record is from RNAcentral. Lineage: Eukaryota; Metazoa; Chordata; Lepidosauria; Squamata; Lacertidae.